Molecule: ribosomal RNA, 819 nt
Filed under: Bacillus safensis
Lineage: Bacteria; Bacillati; Bacillota; Bacilli; Caryophanales; Bacillaceae
Description: bacterial SSU rRNA
Rfam family: Bacterial small subunit ribosomal RNA
Source: RNAcentral
GCUUCCAGCUUGCUGGGGUGGAUUUAGUGGCGAACGGGUGAGUAACACGUGAGUAACCUGCCCUUGACUCUGGGAUAAGCCUUGGAAACGGGGUCUAAUACCGGAUAGGAGCAUUCACCGCAUGGUGGGUGUUGGAAAGAAUUUCGGUCUUGGAUGGACUCGCGGCCCAUCAGCUUGUUGGUGAGGUAAUGGCUCACCAAGGCGACGACGGGUAGCCGGCCUGAGAGGGUGACCGGCCACACUGGGACUGAGACACGGCCCAGACUCCUACGGGAGGCAGCAGUGGGGAAUAUUGCACAAUGGGCGCAAGCCUGAUGCAGCGACGCCGCGUGAGGGAUGACGGCCUUCGGGUUGUAAACCUCUUUCAGUAGGGAAGAAGCGAAAGUGACGGUACCUGCAGAAGAAGCACCGGCUAACUACGUGCCAGCAGCCGCGGUAAUACGUAGGGUGCGAGCGUUAUCCGGAAUUAUUGGGCGUAAAGAGCUCGUAGGCGGUUUGUCGCGUCUGCCGUGAAAGUCCGGGGCUUAACUCCGGAUCUGCGGUGGGUACGGGCAGACUAGAGUGCAGUAGGGGAGACUGGAAUUCCUGGUGUAGCGGUGGAAUGCGCAGAUAUCAGGAGGAACACCGAUGGCGAAGGCAGGUCUCUGGGCUGUAACUGACGCUGAGGAGCGAAAGCAUGGGGAGCGAACAGGAUUAGAUACCCUGGUAGUCCAUGCCGUAAACGUUGGGCACUAGGUGUGGGGGCCAUUCCACGGUUUCCGCGCCGCAGCUAACGCAUUAAGUGCCCCGCCUGGGGAGUACGGCCGCAAGGCUAAAACU